RNAcentral lists this ribosomal RNA (397 nucleotides) under uncultured bacterium. RNAcentral's name for it is "bacterial SSU rRNA". It matches the Rfam family "Bacterial small subunit ribosomal RNA", at positions 32 to 402 of the family's 1533-position model. The record is from RNAcentral.
AAUCAACGCUGGCGGCGUGCCUCAGACAUGCAAGUCGAACGCGAAAGUUUCCUUCGGGAGAUGAGUAGAGUGGCGCACGGGUGAGUAACACGUGAGUAAUUUACCUUCGGGUGGGGAAUACUAACCGGAACGGUUGUUAAUACCGCAUAAUGCAGCGGCAUCAAUGAUGACAGUUGUUAAAGCGGGGGAUUGGAGCAAUCCGACCUCGCGCCUGAAGAGAAGCNCGCGGCAGAUUAGCUAGUUGGUAAGGUAAUGGCUUACCAAGGCGACGAUCUGUAACCGGCCUGAGAGGGCGGUCGGUCACACUGACACUGAAUAACGGGUCAGACUCCGUACGGGAGGCAGCAGUCGGGAAUUUUGGGCAAUGGGCGCAAGCCUCGACCCAGCAACGCCGCGU